UCCAAAAAUUGCACCUCUCGCUACAAGAAAAGGUGGUAAAGUCGAUUUUCAUUUCACGAUGCUGGUUUCAGGCGUCGGAGUGUGGGAACUGUUGGAUUUUAAGACGAUAUCUUUAAGCAUCGUCGGACUCCACCUAAAUCCAACCGCCCUAAGCGCAGCCUCCACGCUUCGAUUUCUCUUCUCCUCCUCCCGCGUCCUCGUUACCGAGGCCAUCCACCGCCCCCUCCACCUCUUAAAAGCGUCGACAUCCCCUCCCUUUCCUCGUCUUUGUCGCUACUGAAGGGCACCGACAUCCACCUCCUUCUCCUCCUCGACGUUUGUCUCCACCGAAGGGGACUGCGAUUCUGCUCCGGAAGCUGAAGGGGAAGCCCGACCUCGAUCUCUUCCUCUCUUUUUCUCGAAGGAAGGUGAGGAGGUCUAUACAAUUUUUCUUGGAUAAGCUUUUGAGUCAGACACCUGAUCAGCAACAGACUUUUUCUACAAUUAGUGAGAUGAGGAGUCCUAUACAGUUUGUCUUGGAUAAUCUUUUGAGUCAGACACCUGAUCAGCAACAGACUUUUUCUGCAAUUAGGGAGGUGGGUUGCAUAUUUAAAUUCAACAAGAGAUUGAGCAUUCAUAUACAUUUACUGCUUAAAAGAUGAAUCAGAGACAUGAGAUACAGUUACAGGAGAUGAGCCAGAGAUAUGACUUACAUACAGAUGGAGAAGCUGAGGCAAAGCUAUCAAAUAGAGAUAAUGUUAUUGAAGACUCGGGUUGAUGACAUCACAUCUUUUUAAAGGGUUUUGCCCCACAUCAGCGUUUCGAUGCUUCCAACAGUCACCAAGAUGAUGAUGAUGAUGAUACCAUGGACAAGUGAUUAUCCUAUUUUUUUUAAUAUUUUUGCAUAUGAUGUAUCUUUUUGUAUUUUUUUUAUAACUUCGUUCGGCUGUAAUUUUAGACAUUCAUUAAUCUUACAUAAUGUAAAAACUUGUCAUUUUGAUAUGCAAUACAAAUAUUUUUUUGAAGUUUGUUGUAUGUUGUGUAUAUCGGCAAGUUAAUUAUUUUUUUAUGGUAUAUCUUAACAUGAAUUUUCUAAAGAAGUGUUAUGCUAUUUUUACAACUAUGAGAAAAUUUAAGGUAGAUGCUUCUUUACUAGUGUAUUGGCCAACAGGACCAUCAAAAUCUUGUGAAGACGUGUUCCUUCAUUGAGGAAGGAAUUACUAAUAUAACCGGUAUGACUAUCAAGUGGAAGGAGGGAAUGGUAAGCGCCAUAUCUUCUAUGUACAAUAUUCAUUGAUAAUUUUUUGAGUUAGGUAUUAUUUUUAAUAUUUUUUUCUUAUAAUAUAUGUAGAAUAUUGCCAAUCAUAAUGGUCAUGAGAAGAAGGUAAGCAACCGGCCUCUUCUAACAUACACAUUCUACUUCUCAUCCUUUCAAGUUUUACCACACUUGUAUUCCAUUAUUCUCAUCUCUACCACAAAGAUACUGAACACAAGUUUAACAAUAACCUUUGUUGAACAUGAUUUUGUAUCAUAGAUUUAUGAGGUAUUGGCAUCUAGGCACCCUGAUGUGGAGCUUAUACAUAUACUUGUUGUCUUACUUAAUGGUUCAUUUGCUUAUUUUUUAUGAUGGUAGGGGGUGUGGUGCAUGAAUAGGCCCUUUUGCUACAGGAAUGUGAGUCGGAACUCUUUCACUUAUAUAUAUAAUCUUGAUAUGAUAUAAUUAUUAAUUUUACCAUAUUUUUUCUCUAUGGUUGAAAAUUUCUGGCUAUUUAAUCAUGGCUCAACUUACCAUAAUUUGACUGACAUAAUCAUUUGCUUUAUACUUUGUUAGUUCAGAGAAGCUUGGGGAAUGAAGAUGGGUAUUUUUAAAAUCAUUCGAAGGAUCUUUCCAAAUCCCAUCUAGUCUCAUAAAACUAUAUCGGUGCUGUCAAUUUAAACAGGAAAAGGCAGU
Non-coding RNA from Elaeis guineensis (African oil palm), 1930 nucleotides. Lineage: Eukaryota; Viridiplantae; Streptophyta; Magnoliopsida; Arecales; Arecaceae. The record is from RefSeq and is a predicted model, not a curated record.